CCUACGGGAGGCAGCAGUGAGGAAUAUUGGUCAAUGGGCGGGAGCCCGAACCAGCCAAGUCGCGUGAGGGAAGACGGUCCUAUGGAUUGUAAACCUCUUUAGGCGGGGAGCAAUGCCGGGCACGCGUGCCCGGAGGGAGAGUACCCGCAGAAUAAGCCUCGGCUAACUCCGUGCCAGCAGCCGCGGUAAUACGGAGGAUGCGAGCGUUAUCCGGAUUUAUUGGGUUUAAAGGGUGCGUAGGCGGAUUUUUAAGUCAGCGGUAAAAUGUCCGGGCUCAACCCGGGCCGGCCGUUGAAACUGGGGAGCUUGAGUGGGCGAGAAGUAGGCGGAAUGCGUGGUGUAGCGGUGAAAUGCAUAGAUAUCACGCAGAACUCCGAUUGCGAAGGCAGCAUACCGGCGCCCGACUGACGCUGAGGCACGAAAGCGUGGGGAUCGAACAGGAUUAGAUACCCUUGUAGUC
RNAcentral lists this ribosomal RNA (460 nucleotides) under uncultured bacterium. RNAcentral describes it as "partial 16S ribosomal RNA". It matches the Rfam family "Bacterial small subunit ribosomal RNA", at positions 338 to 795 of the family's 1533-position model. The record is from RNAcentral.